This 1018-nucleotide long non-coding RNA is filed under the name Marmota monax (woodchuck). The record is from RNAcentral. Lineage: Eukaryota; Metazoa; Chordata; Mammalia; Rodentia; Sciuridae.
ACCUUGACAUUGCUAUUUCUAAAUUGCAGAGAAAAAAAAAAACAAGCAUCAAAUAAAUGUCAUAGAAAAUUGGACAACAUCAAAUAACACUAGUCCAGAUCUUUAAAGCUGACCUUUAAAGCUUACCCUCUCCUACAUCUUUUCUUCCCUUCACUGAGAAACUUGUUCUAUAUCAUGUUAUAUAUUCCAUGUGAUUUUUUGAGAGAGAGAGAGAGAGAGGAUUUAUAUAUAUAUAUAUUAGUUUUCGGCUGACACAACAUCUUUGUUUGUAUGUGGUGCUGAGGAUCAAACCCGGGCCGCACACAUGCCAGGGGAGCGCUACGGCUUGAGCCACAUCCCCAGCCCUCCAAGUGAUUUUUGCUAGAGUGAAUCAUUCUAUAUGACCACUAUUUUCAUGUGUUAGGUGCAUUUUAUUCUAUCAAGAAGCUUUAAAAAAAACGUCAUGAUCUUUAUUAAAAAAAAAAAAAACCUCUUCAUAAUUACAUGAGUAAAAUAAAAUUGUAAGGUGAAACUUAAGACCACAGAUUUCCAAUGCUUAUUCUGAAGAACCAAAGAAAAAUGGGAAAAAAAGAAAAGGAAAAUGUAUGUAUUGAUGUCCCAGAAACUUUUGAAAUGCAUGACUUGAGCAAACCACUUCCUCAGGAUUUAGGGUCCUAUAACAUUGAAUUACUACACAAAAUAAAACUCUUGUAACACCAGCUGAAGUCAUCAAUGGGCAAAAGUGUAAUGAGCCUCAAAAACUGCAACUUCCAAGAUUCCUGAAGGUAUUUUUGUUGAGAUUAUUACAUAUUCUUACAUUAAAGAAAAUCAUUACAGGGGAUGGGGUUGUGGCUCAGCAGGAGAGUACUCACCUAACACAAGCAAGGCCCUGAGUUUGAUUCUCAACACCACAUAAAAAUAAAUAAAUGAAAUAAAGGUAUUGUGUCAACUAAAAAAAUAAAUAAAAGAAAAUCAUUACAUAAUGAGAUUGGUCAAAUUAUGUUAUGUGCAUGAACGAAUAUGGUAUAAUGAAUCUUAC